This 396-nucleotide ribosomal RNA is filed under the name uncultured bacterium. RNAcentral describes it as "bacterial SSU rRNA". It matches the Rfam family "Bacterial small subunit ribosomal RNA", at positions 30 to 429 of the family's 1533-position model. The record is from RNAcentral.
AUUGAACGCUGGCGGCAUGCUUUACACAUGCAAGUCGAACGGCAGCGGGGGCUUCGGCCUGCCGGCGAGUGGCGAACGGGUGAGUAAUACAUCGGAACGUAUCCUUGAGUGGGGAAUAACGCAUCGAAAGAUGUGCUAAUACCGCAUACCUCUAAGGAGAAAAGCAGGGGACAGAAAUGCCUUGCGCUGAAGGAGCGGCCGAUGUCUGAUUAGCUAGUUGGUGGGGUAAAAGCCUACCAAGGCGACGAUCAGUAGUUGGUCUGAGAGGACGACCAGCCACACUGGGACUGAGACACGGCCCAGACUCCUACGGGAGGCAGCAGUGGGGAAUUUUGGACAAUGGGCGAAAGCCUGAUCCAGCCAUGCCGCGUGAGUGAAGAAGGCCUCGGUUGUAAG